Biomphalaria pfeifferi is the source of this 300-nucleotide non-coding RNA. Lineage: Eukaryota; Metazoa; Mollusca; Gastropoda; Planorbidae. The record is from the annotation of a GenBank genome assembly.
AAUUCUACCCUUUUUUUUUUUUUUGUUAAACAAACCAUCUUUUACUGUAUACCAGCUGGUGGGAGUUAUUGGCCCUUGUUGAACAAGCACUGCUAGAAUCGAAUCACUAUCUACUUCCUGUUUAAUGGAAUGUGAGGUUGAUAUGAUUUAUUUUUGACUUAUUUGUUUGGCAUUGUUGUAUUAUUGUUUUGUUUUGUUUUUAUGUACAGCUACUUAUUCUUAUUUUCUUUUUCACUGAUAAUUUAUUAUUUGAAAUAGUUGUUACAUUAUUUCUUAUUCAUUAAAUUGACAUGAAAGAAG